UCCCUGGUGGCCCAGUGGAUAAGACUUUGUGCUCUCAAUGCAGGGGGCCUGGGUUCGAUCCCUGGCCAGGGAA
Molecule: transfer RNA, 73 nt
Filed under: Ovis aries (sheep)
Lineage: Eukaryota; Metazoa; Chordata; Mammalia; Artiodactyla; Bovidae
Rfam family: tRNA
About the family: Transfer RNA (tRNA) molecules are approximately 80 nucleotides in length. Their secondary structure includes four short double-helical elements and three loops (D, anti-codon, and T loops).
Source: Rfam by way of RNAcentral